UGUGCCUACGGGACGCAGCAGUGGGGAAUAUUGCACAAUGGGCGAAAGCCUGAUGCAGCAACGCCGCGUGAAGGAAGAAGGCCGUCGGGUCGUAAACUUCUGUCCUUGGGGAAGAAGAACUGACGGUACCCAAGGAGGAAGCCCCGGCUAACUACGAGCCAGCAGCCGCGGUAAUACGUAGGGGGCAAGCGUUAUCCGGAAUUAUUGGGCGUAAAGAGUACGUAGGUGGCAACCUAAGCGCAGGGUUUAAGGCAAUGGCUCAACCAUUGUUCGCCCUGCGAACUGGGAUGAUUGAGUGCAGGAGG
Molecule: ribosomal RNA, 305 nt
Filed under: uncultured bacterium
Lineage: Bacteria
Description: bacterial SSU rRNA
Rfam family: Bacterial small subunit ribosomal RNA
Source: RNAcentral